This 392-nucleotide long non-coding RNA is filed under the name Anolis carolinensis (green anole). Its description in RNAcentral is "lncRNA (ENSACAG00000034919.1)". The record is from RNAcentral. Lineage: Eukaryota; Metazoa; Chordata; Lepidosauria; Squamata; Anolidae.
GGGACAUUUAGAAUGCUAAGCCAGAGAGCUCUAGUGUGAGAUUUGCGCCCGUACCUUGGGAAGUCAGAUGUGGCCAUGGUGGUCCAUGCUCUCACAUCUAGGAUAGAAUAUAUAUAUAUACAUAUACAUAUAUUUUUAUUUAUUUAUUUCCAGAAUUUAUACCCCGCCCUUCUCACCCGAGGGGACUCAGGGUGGAUCACAUUACACACAUAAGGCAAACAUUCAAUGCCUUAACAUAGAAAAAAGACAAGACAAAUGCGGGGCUCCGAGCUGGCCUCGAACUCAUGACCUCUUGGUCAGAGUGAUUUAUUGCAGCUGGCCGCAGCUGGUUGCUCAACAGCCUGCGCCACAGCCUGGCAUCACAAGUGUAGGCGUCACCCACUGCAGUAACC